UGCAAGUCGGACGGGAUCCAUCGGUAGCUUGCUACCGAUGGUGAGAGUGGCGCACGGGUGCGUAACGCGUGAGCAACCUGCCCAUAUCAGGGGGAUAGCCCGGAGAAAUCCGGAUUAACACCGCAUGCAACCGGAGGAUGGCAUCAUCUUCCGGUUAAAUAUUCAUAGGAUAUGGAUGGGCUCGCGUGACAUUAGCUAGUUGGUGGGGUAACGGCCCACCAAGGCGACGAUGUCUAGGGGCUCUGAGAGGAGAAUCCCCCACACUGGUACUGAGACACGGACCAGACUCCUACGGGAGGCAGCAGUAAGGAAUAUUGGUCAAUGGGGGCAACCCUGAACCAGCCAUGCCGCGUGCAGGACGACUGCCCUAUGGGUUGUAAACUGCUUUUGUUAGGGAAUAAACCCCACUACGUGUAGUGGGCUGAAUGUACCUAAAGAAUAAGGAUCGGCUAACUCCGUGCCAGCAGCCGCGGUAAUACGGAGGAUCCGAGCGUUAUCCGGAUUUAUUGGGUUUAAAGGGUGCGUAGGCGGCACUUUAAGUCAGGGGUGAAAGACGGCAGCUCAACUGUCGCAGUGCCCUUGAUACUGAAGUGCUUGAAUGCGGUUGAAGACGGCGGAAUGAGACAAGUAGCGGUGAAAUGCAUAGAUAUGUCUCAGAACACCGAUUGCGAAGGCAGCUGUCUAAGCCGUUAUUGACGCUGAUGCACGAAAGCGUGGGGAUCGAACAGGAUUAGAUACCCUGGUAGUCCACGCCCUAAACGAUGAUGACUCGAUGUUUGCGAUAUACCGUAAGCGUCCAAGCGAAAGCGUUAAGUCAUCCACCUGGGGAGUACGCCCGCAAGGGUGAAACUCAAAGGAAUUGACGGGGGCCCGCACAAGCGGAGGAGCAUGUGGUUUAAUUCGAUGAUACGCGAGGAACCUUACCCGGGCUUGAAAGUUACUGAAGGGCGCAGAGACGCGCCCGUCCCUCGGGACAGGAAACUAGGUGCUGCAUGGCUGUCGUCAGCUCGUGCCGUGAGGUGUUGGGUUAAGUCCCGCAACGAGCGCAACCCCUAUGUUUAGUUGCCAGCACGUCAAGGUGGGGACUCUAAACAGACUGCCUGCCCAACCAAAAAGGAAGGCGGGGACAACUUCAGUCAUCAUGGCCUUACGUCCGGGGCUACACCCUGC
Molecule: ribosomal RNA, 1170 nt
Filed under: Sphingobacterium mizutaii
Lineage: Bacteria; Pseudomonadati; Bacteroidota; Sphingobacteriia; Sphingobacteriales; Sphingobacteriaceae
Description: bacterial SSU rRNA
Rfam family: Bacterial small subunit ribosomal RNA
Source: RNAcentral